Molecule: ribosomal RNA, 426 nt
Filed under: uncultured bacterium
Lineage: Bacteria
Description: bacterial SSU rRNA
Rfam family: Bacterial small subunit ribosomal RNA
Source: RNAcentral
GUGGGGAAUCUUGCGCAAUGGACGAAAGUCUGACGCAGCCAUGCCGCGUGAAUGAUGAAGGUCUUAGGAUUGUAAAGUUCUUUAGCCUGUGACGAUGAUGACGGUAACAGGAGAAUAAGCCCCGGCUAACUUCGUGCCAGCAGCCGCGGUAAUACGAAGGGGGCUAGCGUUGUUCGGAAUUACUGGGCGUAAAGCGCGCGUAGGCGGUUAUGCAAGCCAGAGGUGAAAUGCCUGAGCUCAACUUAGGAAUUGCCUUUGGAACUGCAUGGCUUUGAGGACGAGAGAGGUGAGUGGAAUUCCCAGUGUAGAGGUGAAAUUCGUAGAUAUUGGGAAGAACACCGGUGGCGAAGGCGGCUCACUGGCUCGUUUCUGACGCUGUAGCGCGAAAGCGUGGGGAUCAAACAGGAUUAGAAACCCGGGUAGUCC